RNAcentral lists this ribosomal RNA (716 nucleotides) under Bacillus pumilus. RNAcentral's name for it is "bacterial SSU rRNA". It matches the Rfam family "Bacterial small subunit ribosomal RNA", at positions 80 to 781 of the family's 1533-position model. Lineage: Bacteria; Bacillati; Bacillota; Bacilli; Caryophanales; Bacillaceae. The record is from RNAcentral.
UGCUCCCGGAUGUUAGCGGCGGACGGGUGAGCUAACACGUGGGUAACCUGCCUGUAAGACUGGGAUAACUCCGGGAAACCGGAGCUAAUACCGGAUAGUUCCUUGAACCGCAUGGUUCAAGGAUGAAAGACGGUUUCGGCUGUCACUUACAGAUGGACCCGCGGCGCAUUAGCUAGUUGGUGGGGUAAUGGCUCACCAAGGCGACGAUGCGUAGCCGACCUGAGAGGGUGAUCGGCCACACUGGGACUGAGACACGGCCCAGACUCCUACGGGAGGCAGCAGUAGGGAAUCUUCCGCAAUGGACGAAAGUCUGACGGAGCAACGCCGCGUGAGUGAUGAAGGUUUUCGGAUCGUAAAGCUCUGUUGUUAGGGAAGAACAAGUGCGAGAGUAACUGCUCGCACCUUGACGGUACCUAACCAGAAAGCCACGGCUAACUACGUGCCAGCAGCCGCGGUAAUACGUAGGUGGCAAGCGUUGUCCGGAAUUAUUGGGCGUAAAGGGCUCGCAGGCGGUUUCUUAAGUCUGAUGUGAAAGCCCCCGGCUCAACCGGGGAGGGUCAUUGGAAACUGGGAAACUUGAGUGCAGAAGAGGAGAGUGGAAUUCCACGUGUAGCGGUGAAAUGCGUAGAGAUGUGGAGGAACACCAGUGGCGAAGGCGACUCUCUGGUCUGUAACUGACGCUCAGGAGCGAAAGCUUGGGGAGCGAACGUGAUUAG